GAGGAAUAUUGGGCAAUGGAGGCAACUCUGACCCAGCCAUGCCGCGUGCAGGAAGACGGCCCUACGGGUUGUAAACUGCUUUUAUUUGGGAAGAAACCCUAUUACGUGU
This 109-nucleotide ribosomal RNA is filed under the name uncultured bacterium. RNAcentral's name for it is "partial 16S ribosomal RNA". It matches the Rfam family "Bacterial small subunit ribosomal RNA", at positions 356 to 463 of the family's 1533-position model. The record is from RNAcentral.